UACAGAGGUCCCAAGCGUUGUUCGGAUUCACUGGGCGUAAAGGGUGCGUAGGUGGGGGGGUAAGUCGGAUGUGAAAGCUCGGAGCUCAACUCCGAAAUGGCAUUGGAAACUACCCUGCUAGAGGAUUGGAGGGGGAACUGGAAUACUUGGUGUAGCAGUGAAAUGCGUAGAUAUCAAGUGGAACACCAGUGGCGAAGGCGAGUCCCUGGACAAUACCUGACACUGAGGCACGAAAGCUAGGGGAGCAAACAGG
This 253-nucleotide ribosomal RNA is filed under the name uncultured bacterium. RNAcentral describes it as "partial 16S ribosomal RNA". It matches the Rfam family "Bacterial small subunit ribosomal RNA", at positions 524 to 776 of the family's 1533-position model. The record is from RNAcentral.